Long non-coding RNA from Helianthus annuus (common sunflower), 382 nucleotides. RefSeq lists it as uncharacterized. The transcript is spliced from 3 exons. NCBI's taxonomy places the organism in Eukaryota, Viridiplantae, Streptophyta, Magnoliopsida, Asterales, Asteraceae. The record is from RefSeq and is a predicted model, not a curated record.
GGUGUGUGUAUGUCGAUCGACCAGGAGAAGAGAACAAGGGGUGCAAACCCUAGUUCAUCAAAAUCUUCAAAUUGAAGGAUCCAAUCAAGUCCAAACCGAAAAUCGAGCAUAGAUUAAUGAUCCCCAUUGCAAGGAGAUCAUAAGUUGGCGCUUAACAAGCUAGGUGAAGCUUGGGGAGAAAGCGGGUCAAACAAAUCAAGAAGGAAAGGAAAAGUGUAGCUUGGAUACGAGGUACUUUGUGGAUGCCGGAAGAAGAUCAAGCUCAACGAAGAACCGAACACGAAAUAGAUACACGUUUCCGCACAUUGCCACGUUGUAAAUUUUAAACAACGAACUCGAUUACGUUAUGUUGAAUAACUUAUGAUUUGUUAAAAGUUUUAAU